This is a non-coding RNA of Podarcis lilfordi (Lilford's wall lizard), 70 nucleotides long. The record is from the annotation of a GenBank genome assembly. Lineage: Eukaryota; Metazoa; Chordata; Lepidosauria; Squamata; Lacertidae.
GGCUGUAGCUCAGUGGUAGAGCACCGGCUUUGCAUGAAGAAGGCCAUGGGUUCAGUCCCCAGAAUCUCCA